UUUCAGGUUUGAGGGACGCCGUGGGGAAGGAUUCAGUGGAUGGUCGGGGAACUCUUGACAAAACAGGUGGUGUGUGUAGAUGCUGACUGCUUUGUCUCUUUACCCUGCUGAAGGAAGGAGGGAGGAGCAGUCUUGUUCAUGGAAAGACUAUGGAGUGUCUGAGUACCCUGCAGGAUGUCUUGAUUUUGAUCCCAAGCCAGUUUUUAGGAUUUUCUUGGUUCAUUCUCGUUCGAUGCCCAGCCCGCUUAAGGCACAAGCUGGUGCAGCUCAGGGUUAGUCCCAACCUUGGGUGAAUGGGCAGAGGUGCCUGUGGAAAGACAUCCACUGUAAAAACCUACCAUUGUCAAGCAAGAAAGAAAAGAAUGUGGUACUUGUUCCUGUAAAGACUUGGGUGACAUCUCAUUGCCUCUGUGAUUGCCUGCACACAGUUCUCAACACCAGUAGACUUGGAUGUAGGAAAACCCUUUCCCUCACCAUUUUGGAAGGAGACAUUUACUGCUUACCUGGUUUGGAGGUUAUCAAGUUGAGGGAUCACAAGAAGUUUGUGGUGCUGUGAAUAAGUCAGGCUUGUGAACUGAGGUUUGAGGGACGUCGUGGGGAAGGAUACAGUGGAUGGCUGGGGAACUCUUGCCAAAACAGGUGAGGGCUGAAGGAAGGAGGGAGGAGCAGUCUUGUUCAUGGAAAGACUGUGGAGUGUCUGAGUACCCUGCAGGAUGUCUUGAUUUUGAUCCCAAGCCAGUUUUUAUAAUUUUCUUGGUUCGUUCUCGUUCAAUGCCCUGCCCGCUUAGGGCACAAGCUGGUGCAGCUCAGGGUUAGUCCCAACCUUGGGUGAAUGGGCAGAGGUGCCCAUGGAAAGACAUCCACUGUAAAAACCUACCAUUGUCAAGCAAGAAAGAAAAGAAUGUGGUACUUGUUCCUGUAAAGACUUGGGUGACAUCUCAUUGCCUCUGUGGUUGCCUGCACACAGUUCUCAACACCAGUAGACUUGGAUGUAGGAAAACCCUUUCCCUCACCAUUUUGGAAGGAGACAUUUACUGCUUACCUGGUUUGGAGAAGGUUAUCAAGUUGAGGAAUCACAAGAAGGUUGUGGUGCUGUGAAUAAGUCAGGCUUGUGAACUGAGGUUUGAGGAACGCCGUGGGGAAGGAUUCAGUGGAUGGCCGGGGAACUCUUGCCAAAACAGGGCUGAAGGAAGGAGGAAGGUGGUGUCUUGUUCAUGGAAAGACUAUGGAGUGUCGGAGAACCCUGCAGGAUGUCUUGAUUUUGAUCCCAAGCCAGUUUUUAUGAUUUUCUUGGUUCAUUCUCGUUCGAUGCCCAGCCCGCUUAAGGCACAAGCUGGUGCAGCUCAGGGUUAGUCCCAACCUUGGGUGAAUGGGCAGAGGUGCCUCUGGAAAGACAUCCACUGUAAAAACCUACCAUUGUCAAGCAAGAAAGAAAAGAAUGUGGUACUUGUUCCUGUAAAGACUUGGGUAACAUCUCAUUGCCUCUGUGAUUGCCUGCACACAGUUCUCAACACCAGUAGACUUGGAUGUAGGAAAACCCUUUCCCUCACCAUUUUGGAAGGAGACAUUUACUGCUUACCUGGUUUGGAGGUUAUCAAGUUGAGGAAUCACAAGAAGUUUUUGGUGCUGUGAAUAAGUCAGGCUUGUGAACUGAGGUUUGAGGGAUGCUGUGGGGAAGGAUUCAGUGGAUGGCCGGGGAACUCUUGACAAAACAGGGCUGAAGGAAGGAGGGAGGAGUAGUCUUGUUCGUGGAAAGACUAUGAAGUGUCUCAGUACCCUGCAGGAUUUUGUUGGUUCCUUCUUGCUGGAUGUCCAGCCCACACAGGGCACAAACUAGUGCAGCUCAGGGUUAGUCCUAACCCUGGGUAAAUAGGCAGUGGUGCCUCAGGAAAGAUAUCCACAGUAUAAAUCUAUCAGGACAAGCAUGAAAGAAAAGAAUGAGGCAGUGAGGAAUGUGGUACUUGUUUCUGUGAAGACUUGGUAAAUGUAAAUAUUAACAGAGUGAACUAUAUACCAUCUUUUGAUACAUCAGUGUAUUAUAGUAAUAAGGGCAAAUGACAUCUGAUUCAUGAUUACAUUUUGGAUCUUUUUAGCAGUGUUACUGUAGAUCCUGUAUGGAUGGAAACAUACUGGUAUAUACUGAAUGAAGUCCUCAUUUACUUUUUGCCCUAUAAUGUAGUUAGCUCUUCUGAAAAACAGUAAGCAGAAAUUAAUAGGAAUGGAUACCUUUAUCUGCAAACCUAGACAGUCUUGUUAUCUGAUGAUAGCUGAUAAGGACAAAUAGCUGAUUGAUAUUACCUUUGGAAUUUGUCGUGUAUUUAAGGAACUUUUAUAUACAGUACUGUGUUCUAAGAGAAAUAAAAGUGGGAGUAAAA
This 2375-nucleotide unclassified non-coding RNA is filed under the name Portunus trituberculatus (swimming crab). Its description in RNAcentral is "uncharacterized LOC123507654, transcript variant X9". Lineage: Eukaryota; Metazoa; Arthropoda; Malacostraca; Decapoda; Portunidae. The record is from RNAcentral.